Molecule: non-coding RNA, 566 nt
Organism: Agelaius phoeniceus (red-winged blackbird)
Lineage: Eukaryota; Metazoa; Chordata; Aves; Passeriformes; Icteridae
Source: RefSeq, a predicted model, not a curated record
AAUGAAGUCAUGCAAUGGAUUCAGUUUGGCUGGGUGAAAAAAAAUCCCAUAUUUGCAUUGCUAUAGUCCUUCAUCAUUCACAUUUGAUCUAUCUGGCAUUUGAUACAAGAUACAGGCAUGGACGACCUGCCUCAAGCUGCUACAAUGUCUACAGAAGAGAGCUCAUCCAAGAUAGUAAGUGUAAUUACUUCUCCAAGAGUCGAAUUUGUGCUUCAGAAUACAAGAAAGGCUUACAGGUUGAAGGUUUAUUUCAGGAGCUAAGAAAAUGUCAUCUUGAAUUACCAGACUUCUGGAAACCUGUUCUGAGAAGGUGAGUGCAGAUUUGCAUGACUGGAAUGGUAUCUUUUGCUCCUCUCUCUGGAGGGCACAUGCUUUUUCUUAAUAUUAAUGUGACUAAUCAGUGAAACUUUCUCUAUAUUCUUACUGGUUAAACCAGCUGGUCAUGGGUAUAUCUCUAAUUUAAGUUCUUUUGCCAGCAUCCAAGAAGACUCUGUAUGUGUGGAUUCCUUUCUCUCGAUUAAAUAGUGUUAUUUUUAAAACAAACAUUAAACUUUUAUGAAAUUAUA